AUUUUUUAAUUUUUAAAUUAAGUUCUCCUAGUUAAGUUAAAAAUGUAGAUUAUUAUGUAUAUUAUUUUAACUUUAAAAUAUUUUUAAUGAAUUAUAGGAAAAUAUCAUUUGGUUGACACUGGAUAUCCAAAUAUAAAGGGUUAUCUUAAACCUUACAAAGAUGUGAGAUAUCAUUUAUUGGAAUUUAGAUUUGGUCAACCACGAUCAGGGUGAGAAGAAUUUUUAAUCGCGUACAUUCUUUGUUGCGAAGUGUAAUUGAAAGAAUAUUUGGGGUGUGGAAGAAUAGAGACAUAUUUUAGAUAAUAUGCUUGCCUAUCCUUUUAAAGUACAAAUAAAAAUUGUUAUUACUUCAAUGAUUUUGCACAACUAUAUCUGAAAGAGGUCAAGAUAUGCUAGAGUUUUUCAAAUAUUUGAUAAGAAUCUUGAAUACAUGUCUUUCAAUAACUUGCCUGAUGUUGAAGGUAUUUCA
RNAcentral lists this unclassified non-coding RNA (469 nucleotides) under Hevea brasiliensis (rubber tree). The record is from RNAcentral. Lineage: Eukaryota; Viridiplantae; Streptophyta; Magnoliopsida; Malpighiales; Euphorbiaceae.